This is a long non-coding RNA of Humulus lupulus (European hop), 384 nucleotides long. RefSeq lists it as uncharacterized. The record is from RefSeq and is a predicted model, not a curated record. NCBI's taxonomy places the organism in Eukaryota, Viridiplantae, Streptophyta, Magnoliopsida, Rosales, Cannabaceae. The transcript has 2 exons.
UCUCCCACCCUACCCGAUCCAUACUUGCAUUUCUCCAUCUCUCUCUGCUCUGCUAGGGCCGAACGGCUGCCCUCCGAUGGUCGCCGGCGUGCAGACACCCGAUCAGGAGUACCAGACGCUGCUGAAACUCCAGCCUCGCGAGCCCUUCGUUGCCGUUCUCCGCCGCGAGCAGAAGCCUCCAGCUGGUGGAGCAGUGGCCUCGCAGGGGUCGCGACGGUGGGGGCAUUGAACAAUCAGAGGUAUGCCGUCGCAGCUGGUGGAGCGGUGGCCUCGCAGGGGUCGACGGUGGUCUCUGCUCUAAGUUUCGUAUGAAGUUGUUUGGAGGCUUUGAUGUAUUCCAAUUAUUUGGCUUGGUGUAUUUUGAGAUUUGGGAUUCGUUGGCUU